Molecule: ribosomal RNA, 1056 nt
Filed under: Arthrobacter sp. 765G95
Lineage: Bacteria; Bacillati; Actinomycetota; Actinomycetes; Micrococcales; Micrococcaceae
Description: bacterial SSU rRNA
Rfam family: Bacterial small subunit ribosomal RNA
Source: RNAcentral
UGCAGUCGAACGAUGAUCUCCAGCUUGCUGGGGGGAUUAGUGGCGAACGGGUGAGUAACACGUGAGUAACCUGCCCUUGACUCUGGGAUAAGCCUGGGAAACUGGGUCUAAUACCGGAUAUGACCAUUCCGCGCAUGCGGUGGUGGUGGAAAGCUUUUGCGGUUUUGGAUGGACUCGCGGCCUAUCAGCUUGUUGGUGGGGUAAUGGCCUACCAAGGCGACGACGGGUAGCCGGCCUGAGAGGGUGACCGGCCACACUGGGACUGAGACACGGCCCAGACUCCUACGGGAGGCAGCAGUGGGGAAUAUUGCACAAUGGGCGAAAGCCUGAUGCAGCGACGCCGCGUGAGGGAUGACGGCCUUCGGGUUGUAAACCUCUUUCAGUAGGGAAGAAGCGAAAGUGACGGUACCUGCAGAAGAAGCGCCGGCUAACUACGUGCCAGCAGCCGCGGUAAUACGUAGGGCGCAAGCGUUAUCCGGAAUUAUUGGGCGUAAAGAGCUCGUAGGCGGUUUGUCGCGUCUGCUGUGAAAGACCGGGGCUCAACUCCGGUUCUGCAGUGGGUACGGGCAGACUAGAGUGAUGUAGGGGAGACUGGAAUUCCUGGUGUAGCGGUGAAAUGCGCAGAUAUCAGGAGGAACACCGAUGGCGAAGGCAGGUCUCUGGGCAUUAACUGACGCUGAGGAGCGAAAGCAUGGGGAGCGAACAGGAUUAGAUACCCUGGUAGUCCAUGCCGUAAACGUUGGGCACUAGGUGUGGGGGACAUUCCACGUUUUCCGCGCCGUAGCUAACGCAUUAAGUGCCCCGCCUGGGGAGUACGGCCGCAAGGCUAAAACUCAAAGGAAUUGACGGGGGCCCGCACAAGCGGCGGAGCAUGCGGAUUAAUUCGAUGCAACGCGAAGAACCUUACCAAGGCUUGACAUGAACCGGUAACGCCUGGAAACAGGUGCCCCGCUUGCGGUCGGUUUACAGGUGGUGCAUGGUUGUCGUCAGCUCGUGUCGUGAGAUGUUGGGUUAAGUCCCGCAACGAGCGCAACCCUCGUUCUAUGUUGCCAGCGG